UUUAUGGAGAGUUUGAUCCUGGCUCAGGAUGAACGCUGGCGGCGUGCCUAAUACAUGCAAGUCGAGCGAACGGACGAGAAGCUUGCUUCUCUGAUGUUAGCGGCGGACGGGUGAGUAACACGUGGAUAACCUACCUAUAAGACUGGGAUAACUUCGGGAAACCGGAGCUAAUACCGGAUAAUAUUUUGAACCGCAUGGUUCAAAAGUGAAAGACGGUCUUGCUGUCACUUAUAGAUGGAUCCGCGCUGCAUUAGCUAGUUGG
This 262-nucleotide ribosomal RNA is filed under the name Staphylococcus aureus. RNAcentral's name for it is "partial 16S ribosomal RNA". It matches the Rfam family "Bacterial small subunit ribosomal RNA", at positions 1 to 252 of the family's 1533-position model. The record is from RNAcentral. Lineage: Bacteria; Bacillati; Bacillota; Bacilli; Caryophanales; Staphylococcaceae.